Non-coding RNA from Drosophila virilis, 557 nucleotides. Lineage: Eukaryota; Metazoa; Arthropoda; Insecta; Diptera; Drosophilidae. The record is from RefSeq and is a predicted model, not a curated record.
CCUUGUUCUCACAGCAUUUUUCGAUUAAUCGGAACGUGUUAUUAUCAAUAUUUUUAAUAUUAUUGCAACUGGAAGAUGGAAAAUGUAACACAGUACAGGUCGCUUUAUUUGGAAGGACUGGAUUCGAUUCACAUUGGAUUAAAAAAAUGGUUCUUUUUAGUAUGGUUUAAAAGUGUGACGACAUACUUAUCAACUCUCGUCUGCCACAUUUUCAAAGCAUUUCAACAUGAGGAUGAGAAAAUGAAACGCAAUUAAGCUUAAUGAAAAAUUAUGACAUUAGACAAAAUUAAAAGCUGGCGUAAAAAAUGGCUGAAUAAAAAAUAUUACAGUGACAACUCUCUUGGCAGCGACCGUAAUAGUGGAAAAUGUACGCUCAAAAGAAGUGUUCAUUAGGUCGUUUUCACUGAAGUAUAAUAAUAAAUUCUUUUAGCUUAAGCACACUUUAGUCAUGCCUCAAAUCAUGUAGGUUAAUUUGUAACACUUCUGUUCAGAUCCAAACUAAAGCGUUGUGGACUUAGGAAUGAAUGAAAAUUAUAAUCACUGCUGAUGAGAAAUUA